GGCCUCGUAGCUCAGGGGAUAGAGCGCCUCCGUCCUAAGGAGGGCGCCGGGGGUUCGAGUCCCUCCGAGGCCGCCA
RNAcentral lists this transfer RNA (76 nucleotides) under Fimbriimonas sp. Its description in RNAcentral is "tRNA-Arg". It matches the Rfam family "tRNA". From Rfam's summary of the family: Transfer RNA (tRNA) molecules are approximately 80 nucleotides in length. Their secondary structure includes four short double-helical elements and three loops (D, anti-codon, and T loops). The record is from RNAcentral. Lineage: Bacteria; Bacillati; Armatimonadota; Fimbriimonadia; Fimbriimonadales; Fimbriimonadaceae. RNAcentral also lists the same sequence under 1 other name.